Molecule: ribosomal RNA, 2931 nt
Filed under: Geobacillus thermocatenulatus
Lineage: Bacteria; Bacillati; Bacillota; Bacilli; Caryophanales; Anoxybacillaceae
Description: 23S ribosomal RNA
Rfam family: Bacterial large subunit ribosomal RNA
Source: RNAcentral
AGGUUAAGCUAGAAAGGGCGCACGGUGGAUGCCUUGGCACUAGGAGCCGAUGAAGGACGGGGCAAACGCCGAAACGCUCCGGGGAGCUGUAAGCAAGCGUGGAUCCGGAGAUGUCCGAAUGGGGGAACCCACUGCUCGUAAUGGGGCAGUAUCCAUGCCUGAAUCCAUAGGGCAUGGAGGGCACACCCGGGGAACUGAAACAUCUUAGUACCCGGAGGAGAAGAAAGCAAACGCGAUUCCCCAAGUAGCGGCGAGCGAAACGGGAACAGCCCAAACCAAGAGGCGUGUCCUCUUGGGGUUGUAGGACCGCUCAUGGUGGGAGUGAGAAAGGGACGGGGUAGACGAACCGGUCUGGAACGGCCGGCCAGAGAAGGUGAGAGCCCUGUAGUCGAAACUUCGUUCCCUCCCGAGCGGAUCCUGAGUACGGCGGGACACGAGGAAUCCCGUCGGAAGCAGGGAGGACCAUCUCCCAAGGCUAAAUACUCCCUAGUGACCGAUAGUGAACCAGUACCGUGAGGGAAAGGUGAAAAGCACCCCGGGAGGGGAGUGAAAGAGAACCUGAAACCGUGUGCCUACAAGUAGUCAGAGCCCGUUGAUGGGUGAUGGCGUGCCUUUUGUAGAAUGAACCGGCGAGUGACGAUGGCGUGCGAGGUUAAGCCGAAGAGGCGGAGCCGCAGCGAAAGCGAGUCUGAACAGGGCGAAAAGUACGUCGUCGUCGACCCGAAACCAGGUGAUCUACCCAUGUCCAGGGUGAAGGCCGGGUAACAUCGGCUGGAGGCCCGAACCCACGCACGUUGAAAAGUGCGGGGAUGAGGUGUGGGUAGGGGUGAAAUGCCAAUCGAACUUGGAGAUAGCUGGUUCUCCCCGAAAUAGCUUUAGGGCUAGCCUCGGGCUUGAGAGUGUUGGAGGUAGAGCACUGAUUGGGCUAGGGGCCCAAACCGGGUUACCGAACCCAGUCAAACUCCGAAUGCCAACGACUUAUGCCCGGGAGUCAGACUACGAGUGAUAAGAUCCGUGGUCGAGAGGGGAACAGCCCAGACCGCCAGCUAAGGCCCCCAAGUGCACGUUCAGUGGAAAAGGAUGUGGAGUUGCCAAGACAACCAGGAUGUUGGCUUAGAAGCAGCCACCAUUUAAAGAGUGCGUAAUAGCUCACUGGUCGAGUGACUCUGCGCCGAAAAUGUACCGGGGCUAAACGUGCCGCCGAAGCUGCGGGAUGACCGUUGGUCAUCGGUAGGGGAGCGUUCUAAGGGCAGAGAAGCCAGACCGGAAGGACUGGUGGAGCGCUUAGAAGUGAGAAUGCCGGUAUGAGUAGCGAAAACAGAGGUGAGAAUCCUCUGCGCCGAAAGCCUAAGGGUUCCUGAGGAAGGUUCGUCCGCUCAGGGUUAGUCGGGACCUAAGCCGAGGCCGAAAGGCGUAGGUGAUGGACAACAGGUUGAGAUUCCUGUACCACCUUCUUCCCGUUUGAGCGAUGGGGGGACGCAGGAGGAUAGGGCGAGCAGGCGGCUGGAAGAGCCUGUCCAAGCCGUGAGGCUGAUCCGCAGGCAAAUCCGCGGAUUGGAAGGCCGAGCGGUGACGGCGACGGAGUCAUCCGGAAGUCCCCGAUUUCACACUGCCAAGAAAAGCCUCUAGCGAGGGAAGAGGUGCCCGUACCGCAAACCGACACAGGUAGGCGAGGAGAGAAUCCUAAGGCGCGCGGGAGAACUCUCGUUAAGGAACUCGGCAAAAUGACCCCGUAACUUCGGGAGAAGGGGUGCUCUUUGGGGUGAAGAGCCCUGAAGAGCCGCAGUGAAAAGGCCCAAGCGACUGUUUAUCAAAAACACAGGUCUCUGCGAAGCCGAAAGGCGACGUAUAGGGGCUGACACCUGCCCGGUGCUGGAAGGUUAAGGGGAGCGCUUAGCGGAAGCGAAGGUGCGAACCGAAGCCCCAGUAAACGGCGGCCGUAACUAUAACGGUCCUAAGGUAGCGAAAUUCCUUGUCGGGUAAGUUCCGACCCGCACGAAAGGUGUAACGACUUGGGCGCUGUCUCAACGAGAGACCCGGUGAAAUUAUACUACCUGUGAAGAUGCAGGUUACCCGCGACAGGACGGAAAGACCCCGUGGAGCUUUACUGCAGCCUGAUAUGGAAUUUUGGUAUCGCUUGUACAGGAUAGGUGGGAGCCUGGGAAGCCGGAGCGCCAGCUUCGGUGGAGGCGGCGGUGGGAUACCACCCUGGCGGUAUUGAAAUUCUAACCCGCACCCCUUAGCGGGGUGGGAGACAGUGUCAGGCGGGCAGUUUGACUGGGGCGGUCGCCUCCCAAAAGGUAACGGAGGCGCCCAAAGGUUCCCUCAGAAUGGUUGGAAAUCAUUCGGAGAGUGCAAAGGCACAAGGGAGCUUGACUGCGAGACGGACAGGUCGAGCAGGGACGAAAGUCGGGCUUAGUGAUCCGGUGGUUCCGCAUGGAAGGGCCAUCGCUCAACGGAUAAAAGCUACCCCGGGGAUAACAGGCUGAUCUCCCCCAAGAGUCCACAUCGACGGGGAGGUUUGGCACCUCGAUGUCGGCUCAUCGCAUCCUGGGGCUGUAGUCGGUCCCAAGGGUUGGGCUGUUCGCCCAUUAAAGCGGUACGCGAGCUGGGUUCAGAACGUCGUGAGACAGUUCGGUCCCUAUCCGUCGCGGGCGGAGGAAAUUUGAGAGGAGCUGUCCUUAGUACGAGAGGACCGGGAUGGACGCACCGCUGGUGUACCAGUUGUCCCGCCAGGGGCACCGCUGGGUAGCUAUGUGCGGACGGGAUAAGCGCUGAAAGCAUCUAAGCGUGAAGCCCCCCUCAAGAUGAGAUUUCCCACCGCGUUAGGCGGGUAAGAUCCCUCGAAGAUGACGAGGUCGAUAGGUCCGAGGUGGAAGCGUGGCGACACGUGGAGCUGACGGAUACUAAUCGAUCGAGGGCUUAACCUAG